UUCCACCAGACACUUGUUCUC
This 21-nucleotide microRNA is filed under the name Picea abies (Norway spruce). RNAcentral's name for it is "pab-miR11466e". Lineage: Eukaryota; Viridiplantae; Streptophyta; Pinopsida; Pinales; Pinaceae. The record is from miRBase by way of RNAcentral.